Long non-coding RNA from Schistocerca piceifrons (Central American locust), 782 nucleotides. RefSeq lists it as uncharacterized. The record is from RefSeq and is a predicted model, not a curated record. The transcript has 4 exons. NCBI's taxonomy places the organism in Eukaryota, Metazoa, Arthropoda, Insecta, Orthoptera, Acrididae.
CGGUCACCUGUCCGACAGCUGGCCCUCUCGUGCCACAAGGAAAGCCGGGAACCGGAAGGUUCCCGGCUUAGGCCUCGCCGGGACCCUCUGACUUCAGUACAUAAAGAUUUCUUUGCCACGGUCUGCAAGCAGGCCUGCAACAGAUCCCACGAUGUUGAUUGUGUGACGGUUCAGUGCUAACCGAAAACUUGUAGUGAAGUCUUCCAGCUUUCGUGCCCAAGCCUCUCUGCUGAGUCAGCAGAGAUUUCUUCCGUUUUGCACAAACACCAAGUGUGACGAAACACAGCCUUAAGCAAGCUGAGACAAGAAACAGAUAGAUACAAAAUGGACUCCUGAAAAUUUGCGAAGGGCAGAACAAAGCAAUUUCUGCGGGUUUAUCGAUUGAAAAGGCACCUAAAACUUUUAAAAUAUCUCAUAGCACACUGCAAUACAAAUUAAAGAGUGGAAAUGAAUUGGACCAGAAGAUGGGGGCAAAAUGGAUUGUAGAAGAUUUAGAAAAGGCAAAAAAUUUUGCUGCUGCAGGUUUUUCGAUUACUAAGGUAGCUGAAUUUUUUAAAAUAUCUUGUAGCAUCUGCAAAAAGUUCAUUUUGCAAAUUCGGAAACAGUCCACGUAUUCAUUUGAUUGAUUUGGUCCACGUAUUGAUUUGGAUCAAACAGCACGCACUGGCUUAUAGGAACAGAUGGCCAGAGAUUGUAUUUGCUUCCACAGAAGAAUUGAAAAUAUUAGUCAAAUAAUUGAGCCAAUAUUACAUCUACAGCGUGAUGCACGAGAUGAGCGAACA